This 72-nucleotide transfer RNA is filed under the name Camelus bactrianus (Bactrian camel). It matches the Rfam family "tRNA". From Rfam's summary of the family: Transfer RNA (tRNA) molecules are approximately 80 nucleotides in length. Their secondary structure includes four short double-helical elements and three loops (D, anti-codon, and T loops). RNAcentral also lists the same sequence under 2 other names. Lineage: Eukaryota; Metazoa; Chordata; Mammalia; Artiodactyla; Camelidae. The record is from Rfam by way of RNAcentral.
GGGAGCAUAGCUCAGUGGUAGAGUGCAUGCUUAGCGUGCAUGAGGUCAUGGGUUCAAUCCCAAGUACCUCCA